RNAcentral lists this small RNA (858 nucleotides) under Pongo abelii (Sumatran orangutan). RNAcentral's name for it is "processed transcript". Lineage: Eukaryota; Metazoa; Chordata; Mammalia; Primates; Hominidae. The record is from RNAcentral.
GGUGGAGGUGGACAUCACCAAGCCGGACAUGACCAUCCGGCAGCAGAUCAUGCAGCUGAAGAUCAUGACCAACCGGCUGCGCAGCGCCUACAACGGCAACGACGUGGACUUCCAGGACGCCAGUGACGACGGCAGCGGCUCGGGCAGCGGUGAUGGCUGUCCGGAUGACCUCUGCGGCCGGAGGGUCAGCAGGAAGAGCUCCAGCUCCCGGACGCCCUUGACCCACGCCCUCCCAGGCCUGUCAGAGCAGGAAGGGCAGAAGACCUCGGCUGCCAGCUGCCCCCAGCCCCCCACCUUCCUCCUGUCUCUCCUCCUCUUCCUGGCCCUUACAGUAGCCAGGCCCCGGUGGCGGUAACUGCCCCAAGGCCCCAGGGACAGAGGCCAAGGACUGACUUUGCCAAAAAUACAACACAGACGAUAUUUAAUUCACCUCAGCCUGGAGAGGCCUGGGGUGGGACAGGGAGGGCCGGCGGCUCUGAGCAGGGGCAGGCACAGAGGCCCCGGCCCCAGGCCUGGCCUCGCCUGCCUUUCUGCCUUUUAAUUUUGUAUGAGGUCCUCAGGUCAGCUGGGAGCCAGUGUCCCCACAAGCCAUGUAUUUCAGGGACCUCAGGGGCACCUCCGGCUGCCUAGCCCUCCCCCCAGCUCCCUGCACCGCUGCAGAAGCAGCCCCUCGAGGCCUACAGAGGAGGCCUCAAAGCAACCCGCUGGAGCCCACAGCGAGCCUGUGCCUUCCUCCCCGCCUCCUCCCACUGGGACUCCCAGCAGAGCCCACCAGCCAGCCCUGGCCCACCCCUCAGCCUCCAGAGAAGCCCCGCAAGGGCUGUCUGGGUGUCCACCAUCCAGGGUCUAGCAGAGCCU